GUGCUGCUUUGGCAACACGUGCACUAAAGUUGGAACAAUACAGACCAUCAGCAUGGCCCUGUGCAAGGUUACCAUGCAAAUUCAUGAAACAUUCUAUAUUUUU
Small nuclear RNA from Pteronotus mesoamericanus, 103 nucleotides. NCBI's taxonomy places the organism in Eukaryota, Metazoa, Chordata, Mammalia, Chiroptera, Mormoopidae. The record is from RefSeq and is a predicted model, not a curated record.